GAUGAACGCUAGCGGCAGGCUUAAUACAUGCAAGUCGAGGGGCAGCAGGGGUGUAGCAAUACACUUGCUGGCGACCGGCAAACGGGUGCGGAACACGUACGCAAUCUACCCAAAACUGGUGAAUAGCCCUCCGAAAGGAGGAUUAAUACAUCGUAACUUAGUGAAGUGGCAUCACUUUAUUAAUAUAGCUCCGGCGGUUUUGGAUGAGCGUGCGCCUGAUUAGGUAGNGGUCGGGGUAACGGGCCCACCAAGCCUGCGAUCAGUAACUGGUGUGAGAGCACGACCAGUCACACGGG
Molecule: ribosomal RNA, 296 nt
Filed under: uncultured bacterium
Lineage: Bacteria
Description: partial 16S ribosomal RNA
Rfam family: Bacterial small subunit ribosomal RNA
Source: RNAcentral